GACGAACGCUGGCGGCGUGCUUAACACAUGCAAGUCGAACGGAAAGGCCCUGCGUUUGUGGGGUGCUCGAUUGGCGAACGGGUGAGUAACACGUGAGUAACCUGCCCUUGACUUUGGGAUAACUUCAGGAAACUGGGGCUAAUACCGGAGAGGAGCUCCUGCUGCAUGGGGGUGGUUGGAGAGUGUCGGCGGUUGGGGAUGGACUCGCGGCUUAUCAGCUGGUUGGUGUGGUAGUGGCUGACCAAGGCUUUGACGGGUAGCCGGCCUGGGAGGGUGACCGGCCACAUUGGGACUGCGAGACGGCGCAGACUCCUACGGGAGGCAGCAGUGGGGAAUAUUGCACAAUGGGCGGAAGCCUGAUGUAGCAACGCCGCGUGCGGGAUGCCGGCCUUCGGGUUGUAAACCGCUUUCGACUGUGACGAAGCGUGCGUGACGGUACUGGGUAAAGAAGCCCCGGCUAACUACGUG
RNAcentral lists this ribosomal RNA (468 nucleotides) under uncultured bacterium. Its description in RNAcentral is "partial 16S ribosomal RNA". It matches the Rfam family "Bacterial small subunit ribosomal RNA", at positions 28 to 507 of the family's 1533-position model. The record is from RNAcentral.